CAUGGCUUCAAAGUGGUACUUGAAAAGCGACACAUUUUCCAUUCGUACUAUGUUAGUUGUACUAGAUGCUAGAUGCAUUCAGAACAGAAAAAAACAAAAUGGAAUACCUUUGUGGUGAUGUACGGUUGUACGUGGUAUCAAUUGUAUGCAUCUUGUCGUGUUUCUUAUAAUCGAAGUGACCAUAGGCAAGCUAAGAGCUAGUGAGCGGCAGCCUUCGGCAAACGGAUAUUUUAAUGUCGACGCUUCCUGUUCACGAAGGAGCACAGCCAGAAAGUCCCACGAUAUCUCAGCGUAGCAGAGGGGAAAAAAAAGCCGCUUCCCGCUCUAACUAAAGAUGCUGGCGUUAUUUAUAUUGAAGUCAAGCGCGGCGUUUCUGGCAAUUUGAUAACAUCUCGAUGUCUUCAUCAUACAUGUCAAAUCUUCUAAUACACGAAGGUGUCGACGUCUCCCGAUGCAGUCAGCCACGCAAGGGAAUAGCGAACGAGCAAGCUGCCCUGUCUAUAGAAGUGCAGGUUGGCAGCCGGAUGCACUUCACCCUACGGAAAAUGUCUUCGCUUCCGUCUCCAUUUGCAGUCGAAUCUAGUCGUCGCAGUGGUGAGUGAGCGGCCGAACGAGCGCCUUCUCGCUCAAAUCUUUCCUGUCUUUACGUAACGAAGAACGGCGACGACUGCUUGCGGGCUGCUAAGGCCUACAGCGGUGUAACUCCAGCAUGGAAGUUCCGCUGCUGCUAGAACCACUCUCUCCAUUGCUACCUAGUGCCGCUGUCGACGAUGCCAAGAUUAUGGGAGCCACUAUAGUUGUCACGCUGCUGCUGCUACUGUUGCACGUUGUUCCUUAAAAUCUCUACGGACUCUCGGACUUUGCCCGUUACUCAUGUUUACGUAACGUGCUUCAACACAGUUUCUGGCAGCCAGCAUCAGAAAUUCUGGAAAUCGAACAAAACACCAGAGGCGUCCACGGCAACAACGACAAUCACAGUUACAUAAACCACCGCUGUCAGCGUCGCGCAUAGGCGAUCAAUACAGUAGAAACAAUAACGACGACGACAGUCAGCCGGACAAACCCAAAUCAGCUGAAGCAUUGAUAGUCAGUCCUAGCUAGAAGAAGCGUCAACUGAACGACAAUUUUCGACAACAAAAACCUGAAAGGCGAAGGUUGUGUAGUACAUGUCGUUCUCAAGACUUGAAGCAGCGAUUCCUGGUCUCUUUCAGUCACAGGCUUGGCUAUCGCAUCGACGACUAUAUAAACACAGGACACGACAUAUUCGAUGGUAAGGACCAAUUAAAAUCAAAUUACCACUUCCUGGAAGAGGCCACCGACAGUUUUGAGCAAAAGCACUUUUUAGCUAAAAAAAUAUACUUUGCUUGAAAUAAAAGUGACUGAGCUUUA
Varroa destructor (honeybee mite) is the source of this 1389-nucleotide long non-coding RNA. RefSeq lists it as uncharacterized. The record is from RefSeq and is a predicted model, not a curated record. NCBI's taxonomy places the organism in Eukaryota, Metazoa, Arthropoda, Arachnida, Mesostigmata, Varroidae.